This 372-nucleotide ribosomal RNA is filed under the name uncultured bacterium. RNAcentral's name for it is "bacterial SSU rRNA". It matches the Rfam family "Bacterial small subunit ribosomal RNA", at positions 527 to 898 of the family's 1533-position model. The record is from RNAcentral.
GGAGGGUGCUAGCGUUGUUCGGAAUCACUGGGCGUAAAGGGCGCGUAGGCGGCGCAGCGUGUCGGCUGGUGAAAGCCCGGGGCUCAACCCCGGAGGUGCGGCCGAAACUGCUGUGCUGGAGGCCGGAAGAGGAGGGUGGAAUACCCAGUGUAGAGGUGAAAUUCGUAGAUAUUGGGUGGAACACCGGUGGCGAAAGCGGCUCUCUGGUCCGGACCUGACGCUGAGGCGCGAAAGCGUGGGGAGCAAACAGGAUUAGAUACCCUGGUAGUCCACGCCCUAAACGAUGCGGGCUAGACGUUGGGGGGCCUGCCCCUCGGUGUCGCAGCAAACGCGGUAAGCCCGCCGCCUGGGGAGUACGGCCGCAAGGUUAAA